GGGGAAUAUUGCACAAUGGGGGAAACCCUGAUGCAGCGAUGCCGCGUGAGUGAAGAAGGUCUUCGGAUCGUAAAGCUCUUUCGACAGGGAAGAAACAAAUGACGGUACCUGGAGAAGAAGCCACGGCUAAUCACGUGCCAGCAGCCGCGGUAAUACGUGAGUGGCAAGCGUUAUCCGGAAUUACUGGGCGUAAAGAGCGCGUAGGCGUCUCGAUAAGUCAGGGGUGAAAAGUCAGGGCUUAACCUUGGCCUUGCCUUUGAAACUAUCGAGAUAGAGUAUUGGAUAGGAGGGCGGAACUACAAGUGUAGCGGUGGAAUGCGUAGAUAUUUGUAGGAAUGCCGAUGACGAAGGUAGCUCUCUGGACAAAUACUGACGCUGAGGUGCGAGAGCUAGGGGAGCAAAC
Molecule: ribosomal RNA, 403 nt
Filed under: uncultured bacterium
Lineage: Bacteria
Description: bacterial SSU rRNA
Rfam family: Bacterial small subunit ribosomal RNA
Source: RNAcentral